UGGGGAAUAUUGCACAAUGGGCGCAAGCCUGAUGCAGCGACGCCGCGUGGGGGAUGAAGGCUUUCGGGUUGUAAACCUCUUUCGCUAUCGAACAAGGCCCGCUUAGGGUGGGUUGAGGGUAGGUGGAGAAGAAGCACCGGCUAACUCCGUGCCAGCAGCCGCGGUAAUACGGAGGGUGCAAGCGUUAAUCGGAAUUACUGGGCGUAAAGCGCACGCAGGCGGUUUGUUAAGUCAGAUGUGAAAUCCCCGGGCUCAACCUGGGAACUGCAUCUGAUACUGGCAAGCUUGAGUCUCGUAGAGGGGGGUAGAAUUCCAGGUGUAGCGGUGAAAUGCGUAGAGAUCUGGAGGAAUACCGGUGGCGAAGGCGGCCCCCUGGACGAAGACUGACGCUCAGGUGCGAAAGCGUGGGGAGCAAACAGG
This 420-nucleotide ribosomal RNA is filed under the name Chloroflexota bacterium. RNAcentral describes it as "Chloroflexi bacterium partial 16S ribosomal RNA". It matches the Rfam family "Bacterial small subunit ribosomal RNA", at positions 355 to 776 of the family's 1533-position model. Lineage: Bacteria; Bacillati; Chloroflexota. The record is from RNAcentral.